This is a non-coding RNA of Ameiurus melas (black bullhead), 73 nucleotides long. The record is from the annotation of a GenBank genome assembly. Lineage: Eukaryota; Metazoa; Chordata; Actinopteri; Siluriformes; Ictaluridae.
AGCACGGUGGUUUAGUGGUUAGCAUGUGUGCCUCACACCUCCAGGGUUGGGGGUUUGAUUCCCACCGCGGCUC